This 564-nucleotide ribosomal RNA is filed under the name Naganishia vaughanmartiniae. RNAcentral's name for it is "eukaryotic LSU rRNA". The stretch from base 154 to 307 matches the Rfam family "5.8S ribosomal RNA". The record is from RNAcentral. Lineage: Eukaryota; Fungi; Basidiomycota; Tremellomycetes; Filobasidiales; Filobasidiaceae.
AUGAAUACAGAUGCCUGUCGAGCUUGCUCACGGGCUUUCUAUCAUAUCCAUAACACCUGUGCACUUGUUGGAUGUCUAGAGACGUAAAGUCGACAGUCAUCCACUUACACUAAACAAUAAUGUAACAAAUGUAGUCUUAUUAUAACAAAAUAAAACUUUCAACAACGGAUCUCUUGGCUCUCGCAUCGAUGAAGAACGCAGCGAAAUGCGAUAAGUAAUGUGAAUUGCAGAAUUCAGUGAAUCAUCGAAUCUUUGAACGCACCUUGCGCUCCUUGGUAUUCCGAGGAGCAUGCCUGUUUGAGUGUCAUGAAAACCCUCAACCUUAGAUUGGUUAUUUGACCUUUCUUUGGCUUGGAUUUGGACGUUUGCCGAUGUCAAGUCGGCUCGUCUUAAAAGUAAUAGCUGGAUCUGUCUCGCGACAUGGUUUGACUUGGCGUAAUAAGUAUUUCGCUAAGGACAUCUUCGGAUGGCCCUGUUGCAGGACUAAAGACCGCUUUCUAAUCCAUUGAUCUUCGGAUUAAUAUUCAUAACAUCUGGCCUCAAAUCAGGUAGGACUACCCGCUG